RNAcentral lists this ribosomal RNA (229 nucleotides) under uncultured bacterium. RNAcentral's name for it is "partial 16S ribosomal RNA". It matches the Rfam family "Bacterial small subunit ribosomal RNA", at positions 104 to 334 of the family's 1533-position model. The record is from RNAcentral.
CGGGGUGAGUAAUGUAUGGGGAUCUGCCUGAUGGCGGGGGAUAACUACUGGAAACGGUAGCUAAUACCGCAUAAUGUCUACGGACCAAAGCGGGGGACCUCCGGGCCUCGCGCCAUCAGAUGAACCCAUAUGGGAUUAGCUAGUAGGUGGGGUAACGGCUCACCUAGGCGACGAUCCCUAGCUGGUCUGAGAGGAUGACCAGCCACACUGGAACUGAGACACGGUCCAG